RNAcentral lists this ribosomal RNA (400 nucleotides) under uncultured bacterium. Its description in RNAcentral is "bacterial SSU rRNA". It matches the Rfam family "Bacterial small subunit ribosomal RNA", at positions 31 to 418 of the family's 1533-position model. The record is from RNAcentral.
AUUGGAACGCUGGCGGAAUGCUUUACACAUGCAAGUCGAGCGGCAGCACGGGGGCGAACCCUGGUGGCGAGCGGCGAACGGGUGAGUAACACAUCGGAACGUACCCUGUCGUGGGGGAGUAACGAGUCGAAAGAUUCGCUAAUACCGCAUACGACCCGAGGGUGAAAGCGGGGAACGCAAGACCUCGCGCGACUGGAGCGGCCGAUGGCGGAUUAGCUAGUUGGUGGGGUAAAAGGCCCACCAAGGCGACGAUCCGUAGCGGGUCGUGAGAGGACGGCCCGCCACACUGGGACGUGAGACACGGCCCACGACUCCUACGGAGGCAGCAGUGGGGGAAGUUUUGGUACAAUGGGGGGCGAACCCCUCGAUCCAGCCAUUCCGCGUGAGUGAAGAAGGCCUC